AUCGCUUCUCGGCCUUUUGGCUGUGAUCAAGUGUACUGUCCUUAUCAGUUUAAUAAAUGCAUUGACAAUGCUCAUAGAUGAUUAAGUGAUUGGUCUAAGCAUCCAAUCAGUGGCACUACCAUCUUAGAUGAAGACUGACUGAUACCUCACUGAUGAAGGCAGAAACCCAUUUUAACUUAAAGUCUGGGUCGUUCGUGUU
This 199-nucleotide small nuclear RNA is filed under the name Sciurus vulgaris (Eurasian red squirrel). RNAcentral's name for it is "U2 spliceosomal RNA (ENSSVLG00005016923.1)". It matches the Rfam family "U2 spliceosomal RNA", at positions 1 to 119 of the family's 192-position model. From Rfam's summary of the family: U2 is a small nuclear RNA (snRNA) component of the spliceosome (involved in pre-mRNA splicing). Complementary binding between U2 snRNA (in an area lying towards the 5' end but 3' to hairpin I) and the branchpoint sequence (BPS) of the intron results the bulging out of an unpaired adenosine, on the BPS, which initiates a nucleophilic attack at the intronic 5' splice site, thus starting the first of two transesterification reactions that mediate splicing. Lineage: Eukaryota; Metazoa; Chordata; Mammalia; Rodentia; Sciuridae. The record is from RNAcentral.